UACGUAGGGGGCUAGCGUUGUCCGGAUUUAUUGGGCGUAAAGAGCGUGUAGGCGGCCAUGUAGGUCCGGUGUGAAAACUCGAGGCUUAACCUCGAGAUGUCAUCGGAAACCAUUUGGCUAGAGUCCGGAAGAGGAGAGUGGAAUUCCCAGUGUAGCGGUGAAAUGCGUAGAUAUUGGGAGGAACACCAGUGGCGAAGGCGGCUCACUGGACCGGUACUGACGCUGAGGCGCGAAAGCGUGGGGAGCAAACGGG
This 253-nucleotide ribosomal RNA is filed under the name uncultured bacterium. Its description in RNAcentral is "partial 16S ribosomal RNA". It matches the Rfam family "Bacterial small subunit ribosomal RNA", at positions 524 to 776 of the family's 1533-position model. The record is from RNAcentral.